CCUACGGGGGGCAGCAGUGAGGAAUAUUGGUCAAUGGGCGGGAGCCUGAACCAGCCAAGUCGCGUGCAGGAAGAAGGUACUUAGUAUUGUAAACUUCUUUUGUCGGGGGACAAAGGCGGAGACGCGUCUCCGUAUGAGUGUACCCGAAGAAAAAGCAUCGGCUAACUCCGUGCCAGCAGCCGCGGUAAUACGGAGGAUGCGAGCGUUAUCCGGAUUUAUUGGGUUUAAAGGGUGCGCAGGCGGGCGAUCAAGUCAGCGGUAAAAUGUCGGGGCUCAACCCCGGCCGGCAGUUGAAACUGGUCGGAGUGAGUUCACAACAGGCAGGCGGAAUUCGUGGUGUAGCGGUGAUAUGCAUAGAUAUCACGAGGA
RNAcentral lists this ribosomal RNA (369 nucleotides) under uncultured bacterium. RNAcentral's name for it is "partial 16S ribosomal RNA". It matches the Rfam family "Bacterial small subunit ribosomal RNA", at positions 338 to 705 of the family's 1533-position model. The record is from RNAcentral.